GGACCUUUGAGUUCAAGGCCAGCUUGGUCUACAUACCAAGUUCCAGGACAGCAGAGGCUACACAGAAAAACCCUGUCCAAAAAAAAAAAAAAAAAAAAUGAUAAGAAAAAAGUAAAAGUUGAAAAGGUACUUCCAUAGGGAAUAAAUUCUAUUUUAUUUAGGCUUGUCCAAGUUGAAGCACUUGCCAUACCUAUAAGCAAAGGCCUAAAAUUUGAUGUUUUUAGAGAUCAUUUGGAAAACAUAGAACGCAUGUCUAAUUUUUUUUUCUGAAUUUCUGUGCAUCGGCUUCCUAACAAUAGUCUAAUAAAAACCUCUGUCGUAAGGACCAGCGAGAUGGCUUGCUGCCAAGGCUGAGUUUAAUCCCGGAGCCCACUUGGUAGAAGUUGAGAGGCCUGACCCCUCCAAGUCAUCCUCUGAGCUCCACACGUGUAUCAUACAUGUACCACCACACUCAGAUGCCCGCCCACCCACACGUGCACAAAUAACAAUACAGGUCUUAAAAUUCAGAAAAAUUAGUCCAUUCCAUACUUUGCAUUCCUGUAGCUUAUCUGCUCAUUCGUUUGGGCAAGUCACCUCGGGCUCAUUUGCACUGAUAAUUCCUCAGUCAUUCUUGUAGCUCAUGACUGCAGAAUCGCAAAGCGUCAACUAGCAGUAUAGCCAGUGAGCACAUGAACAGCUUCUCUGCUUUGGCUCACAUGUCCGUGUUUUGAUUUAUUGGAACAGUUACUGGAAAGGAUUCUAGAGCCCAUGAGUAGUAUCCAUAAUAGUAACAGUUCUUUUUCUCCAGUUUUUAAAAUAUUCCCUCUUCAACAGCUGGAGAUGUGAUCAGCAGAUCCGUAAGUUUAUUCAUGCAUUUAGCUGAUCCUUGAAGAGUUAGUUUGUGCUGGAACACUACAUUGUUAGAAUUAGAACAUUACUGAACAGUUCUGAAUGAUGACUAGCUUUGACCCAGUGAGACUGAGGUAUUUUGUUUGCUUUGUGGUAGCGUCGUUUUCCCUUGUAUUAAAAGCCCACAGGGACUGGGGUGUAGCUCAGUGAUAGUGCAGGCCCUCAGAGUAUGUGUGGAGCCCUGAGUUCACUUCAGAGCGUGCAAAAUACAAACAGGCAGCUCUCGUUCAUUUCACCUGAACACUGAGAAUGACAUGUGAUACGUCACGUGCUUUCCUUAGUUCCCUGGGGUUGUGAUAGUGUGUGGAAAGUGAUCUCUAGAAUAGAGAAAAAACAUCUAUGCUUCAUCUAUGCUUUCCUCCCGGGACAGAGCCCUUCCUGGGAACUUAACUAGAAAUAACUCUAUUAGCACAAAUCAGAUGAUGAGUCAUUACCACACCUUAACUCCGGAGCCUGAGGGCUGUGAGGGACGCGGCCCCCACCACACAGGAAUGAGCUCCUCCCUACACUGGGACGUUCAGUGUGCUACAACAUUGAAUUUUAAUUGUCUGUUUCUCUAAUUCCCGCCUACCCUUUAGUAUAGAAGUUGUGUGUUAACUUAAGUUUGUGUCUAGCACCUAGUACAUUAACUUAUAUAUGGUAAAUACUUGAUAAAUCUUUACUGAGUGGAUUAAUAGGCUUAAUAUUAAAAGUGAAAAAAAGAGAGUUCAGCAGUGGUGGCGCCACACCUUUAAUCCUAGCACUGGGGAGGAAGAGGCAGGUGAAUGUAUGGGUUCAAGGCCAGACUGGUCUACAGGGUUUGUUCAUUCCGGGACAGCCAGGGCUACUAAGAUUAAUCUUGUCUCAAAAAACAGACAGACAAAUAUUAUUUAAGAGUACAGUUAAAGCUGCCUACUUAAUCCUCAUAUUUGAUCAUAGAGGCACAUGGAUGUACCAAGAUGAGAACAUUGCAUAGC
RNAcentral lists this long non-coding RNA (1844 nucleotides) under Mus musculus (house mouse). Its description in RNAcentral is "long non-coding RNA chr11:77439904-77441748". Lineage: Eukaryota; Metazoa; Chordata; Mammalia; Rodentia; Muridae. The record is from RNAcentral.